This 350-nucleotide ribosomal RNA is filed under the name uncultured archaeon. RNAcentral's name for it is "bacterial SSU rRNA". It matches the Rfam family "Archaeal small subunit ribosomal RNA", at positions 511 to 861 of the family's 1478-position model. The record is from RNAcentral.
UAAAGCAUCCGUAGCCGGUUCCGUAGGUCCUCUGUUAAAUCCACCCGCUCAACGGGUGACCUGCAGAGGAUACCGCGGGACUAGGAGGCGGGAGAGGCGGACGGUACUCCGCGUGUAGGGGUAAAAUCCUUUGAUCCGCGGAAGACCACCAGUGGCGAAGGCGGUCAGCCAGAACGCGCUCGACGGUGAGGGAUGAAAGCUGGGGGAGCGAACCGGAUUAGAUACCCGGGUAGUCCCAGCCGUAAACGAUGCUAGCUAGAUGAUUCAUUCGCAAGUCGCGAAUGAAGUGUCGCAGGGAAGCCGUUAAGCUAGCCGCCUGGGGAGUACGGUCGCAAGACUGAAACUUAAAG